UACAGGGGGUGCAAACGUUGCUCGGAAUCAUUGGGCGUAAAGCGCACGUAGGCGGUUCGUUAUGUCGGAUGUGAAAGCCCUUGGCUUAACCGAGGAAGUGCAUCCGAAACUGGCGAGCUAGAGUACGAAAGAGGAUCGCGGAAUUCCCGGUGUAGAGGUGAAAUUCGUAGAUAUUGGGAAGAACACCGGUGGCGAAGGCGGCGCUCUGGACCGAGACUGACGCUGAGGCGCGAAAGCGUGGGGAGCAAACAGG
This 253-nucleotide ribosomal RNA is filed under the name uncultured bacterium. RNAcentral's name for it is "partial 16S ribosomal RNA". It matches the Rfam family "Bacterial small subunit ribosomal RNA", at positions 524 to 776 of the family's 1533-position model. The record is from RNAcentral.